UAGUAAAAUAAGUCUAUUAUCUACAUACAUAAUUUUUAUUCCAAUCUAAAUAAUAAAUUGCAAGAAAUCUUAGAAACUCUUACUAGACCUAAAACUCCACUUCUUGAGACCUUGAUCCACUUAAACCUCAAUAAACCUCGAUCCAUCUUUUUGAUCCAGCUCAAACUCAUAGCAUAUAUUGAACAUAUAUAAAUCCACAAAUAAUCAAAAUUUCACUAAUAGAUCUAUUACCAACCUUACAAAAUUUUCCAAAAAGUAUCUUUCAUUUUAUUUCACAAAUCUAGAGUCAUCUAAAACAAAUCCAAACUUUGCAAAGCUCUUAUAAAGUCAAUACAAAUCCAAAUCAUCCAAAAUCAAUGCUCAUCAAAACAUUAUCAAGUCUGCUCUCUAACCUUAUUCUUUGAUCUCUCAAGAAAAUCCUAAAAUCAUUGUCAAAGCUUAGAUUAGUCUCUUAGGGUCUGAUUUCAAUCCUAGUUUGUAACCAACCCUCUCCGGGUAUCAAUAUCUAGUUUUUCUAAGUAAUUUUCUCUAAAAUUUACUCUUAACUUCUUCUUAAAUAUGCUUGUAUCGUUUAUUUUUCAAUCUACU
RNAcentral lists this long non-coding RNA (588 nucleotides) under Physcomitrium patens. RNAcentral's name for it is "long non-coding RNA (PPAT_LNC007278)". Lineage: Eukaryota; Viridiplantae; Streptophyta; Bryopsida; Funariales; Funariaceae. The record is from RNAcentral.